This 468-nucleotide ribosomal RNA is filed under the name uncultured bacterium. RNAcentral describes it as "partial 16S ribosomal RNA". It matches the Rfam family "Bacterial small subunit ribosomal RNA", at positions 28 to 507 of the family's 1533-position model. The record is from RNAcentral.
GACGAACGCUGGCGGCGUGCUUAACACAUGCAAGUCGAACGGAAAGGCCCUGCUUUUGUUGGGUUCUCGAUUGGCGAACGGGUGAGUGACACGUGAGUAACCUGCCCUUGACUUUGUGAUAACUUCAGGGAACUGGGGCUAAUACCGGAUAGGAUCUCCUGCUGCAUGGUGGUGGUUGGAAAGUUUCGGCGGUUGGGGAUGGACUCGCGGCUUAUCAGCUUGUUUGGGUGGUAGUGGCUUACCAGGGCUUUGACGGGUAGCCGGCCUGAGAGGGUUACCGGCCACAUUGGGACUGAGAUACGGACCAGACUCCUACGGGAGGCAGCAGUGGGGAAUAUUGCACAAUGGGCGGAAGCCUGAUGCAGCAACGCUGCGUGCGGGAUGACGGCUUUCGGGUUGUAAACCGAUUUCGCAUGUGACGAAGCGUGCGUGACGGUAAUGGGUAAAGAAGCACCGGCUAACUACGUG